This 119-nucleotide ribosomal RNA is filed under the name Aegilops tauschii subsp. strangulata. The record is from RNAcentral. Lineage: Eukaryota; Viridiplantae; Streptophyta; Magnoliopsida; Poales; Poaceae.
GGAUGCGAUCAUACCAGCAGUAAAGCACCGGAUCCCAUCAGAACUUUGAACUUAAGCGUGCUUGGGCGACAGUAGUACUAGGAUGGGUGACCUCCUGGGAAGUCCUCGUGUUCCAUUCC